UUGCUUUGUGACUGAGUGGCGGACGGGUGAGUAACGCGUGGGUAACCUGCCUCACACUGGGGGAUAACAGUUAGAAAUAGCUGCUAAUACCGCAUAAGCGCACAGCAUCGCAUGAUGCAGUGUGAAAAACUCCGGUGGUGUGAGAUGGACCCGCGUCUGAUUAGCUAGUUGGCAGGGCAACGGCCUACCAAGGCGACGAUCAGUAGCCGACCUGAGAGGGUGACCGGCCACAUUGGGACUGAGACACGGCCCAAACUCC
Molecule: ribosomal RNA, 259 nt
Filed under: uncultured Roseburia sp.
Lineage: Bacteria; Bacillati; Bacillota; Clostridia; Lachnospirales; Lachnospiraceae
Description: partial 16S ribosomal RNA
Rfam family: Bacterial small subunit ribosomal RNA
Source: RNAcentral